UUGAGCGUGCGUGUGGGCACAUUUGGGCACCCCUGCAGGGUUACAAUCUUAUCGAUAAGCCGCGUCCGCGGUUAUGGACGACUUGGAGCUGUAUGACUCGACCAUAGACAACUUACACUUGUUGUUUCAAUACUAAUAACUUACAUAGUAAGAUAGAACAACCUAAAUAAUAACUGGUUAAAACUUGACAACCGUGUGAGUGCCUUUGUAAGUACCUCCUUGCGAGGGGGGAACACAUCGGCUGUGUUAUGUUUGCAGAGUAUAGAACUGUUAGUUUAUGCGCUCUCUCAUCUUCUCUGAUAGAUGACUGUUGUAGAGUGUCUCUAUAGGUUUUUAGUGCUUGCGCGCUGCCGCUUAACCCCACCAUAUUGCCUAUGACGUUCCUCUUGCGUCCUCUAAGUCCCCUGCGUGCCUCAAGUACAAAGGACGACUGGUUGACGAAUGCUUAUAUGUCUUGAAGUCUUGUUAAGUACGAACCCGUACUUAUUGCUGCUUCUACGGGAUAUAACCGGGCAGGUAUGAAGAUAUGUUCGAUGAAGACGACGUUAGCAAGGUUACCCUUCCGGCUUGGCCUGGGCAGGGUUAUGGACGCCACUGGUUAUCUUCAGGACUCUUAGUCCAAUUUGUAUCUUGUCCGUACUCGGACGUAUUUGAUCUUCUGUAUGAUUUGGAUCUUUGUAUUGUAUAUUUGUAUCUUGACUCGUUGGAGUUGUUGUUGUAAUAUAUGUAUCUUGUGGGCUCUAUUGUAAUCCUGUUGUAAUGUUA
This is a non-coding RNA of Lolium perenne, 765 nucleotides long. NCBI's taxonomy places the organism in Eukaryota, Viridiplantae, Streptophyta, Magnoliopsida, Poales, Poaceae. The record is from RefSeq and is a predicted model, not a curated record.